CACCACUCGAUCACCAGGAGGCCU
RNAcentral lists this non-coding RNA (24 nucleotides) under Arabidopsis thaliana (thale cress). Lineage: Eukaryota; Viridiplantae; Streptophyta; Magnoliopsida; Brassicales; Brassicaceae. The record is from RNAcentral.